CAAUAGCGUAUAUUAAAGUUGUUGCAGUUAAAAAGCUCGUAGUUGGAUUUCUGGUAGGAGUGACCGUUCCGAACUUGAUUGUUCGUGUAUUGUGUUUUCUCCAGCCAUCCUUGUGGAGAACUUUUCUUGCAUUAAUUUGUAGGGAUUGGGACCCGCAUCGUUUACUGUGAAAAAAUUAGAGUGUUUAAAGCAGGCAAUCGCUUGAAUACAUUAGUAUGGAAUAAUAAGAUAGGACUUUGGUACUAUUUUGUUGGUUUGCAUACCAAAUUAAUGAUCAACAGGAACAGUUUGAGGAUAUUCGUAUGAACAUGUCAGAGGUGAAAUUCUUGGAUUUUGAUCAGACGGACUACUGCGAAAGCAUUUAUCAAGGAUGUUUUCAUUAA
This 383-nucleotide ribosomal RNA is filed under the name uncultured eukaryote. Its description in RNAcentral is "partial 18S ribosomal RNA". It matches the Rfam family "Eukaryotic small subunit ribosomal RNA", at positions 592 to 976 of the family's 1831-position model. The record is from RNAcentral.